This 207-nucleotide ribosomal RNA is filed under the name uncultured bacterium. Its description in RNAcentral is "partial 16S ribosomal RNA". It matches the Rfam family "Bacterial small subunit ribosomal RNA", at positions 568 to 774 of the family's 1533-position model. The record is from RNAcentral.
AGCGCAGACGGAACUGCAAGUCUGAUGUGAAAGCCCGGGGCUCAACCGCGGGACUGCAUUGGAAACUGUAGAUCUGGAGUGCCGGAGGGGCAAGCGGAACUCCUGGUGUAGCGGUGAAAUGCGUAGAUAUCAGGAGGAACACCGGCGGCGAAGGCGGCUUGCUGGACGGCAACUGACGUUGAGGCUCGAAAGCGUGGGGAGCAAACA